RNAcentral lists this ribosomal RNA (253 nucleotides) under uncultured bacterium. RNAcentral's name for it is "partial 16S ribosomal RNA". It matches the Rfam family "Bacterial small subunit ribosomal RNA", at positions 524 to 776 of the family's 1533-position model. The record is from RNAcentral.
GACGAACCGUGCAAACGUUGUUCGGAAUCAUUGGGCGUAAAGAGCGUGUAGGCGGCCCCUUAAGUCCUGCGUGAAAUCCUGCGGCUCAACCGUAGACGGUCGUGGGAAACUGGAGGGCUAGAGUGCGGGAGAGGAGAGUGGAAUUCCCGGUGUAGCGGUGAAAUGCGCAGAUAUCGGGAAGAACACCCGUGGCGAAGGCGGCUCUCUGGAACGCAACUGACGCUGAGACGCGAAAGCGUGGGGAGCAAACAGG